Long non-coding RNA from Gopherus evgoodei (Goodes thornscrub tortoise), 106 nucleotides. RefSeq lists it as uncharacterized. The transcript is spliced from 3 exons. The record is from RefSeq and is a predicted model, not a curated record. Lineage: Eukaryota; Metazoa; Chordata; Testudines; Testudinidae.
GUUCCCCAAGUAGGUACUUAUAGACUGUAAUCAAGUCACCCCCUAACCUUCUUGUUGUUAACCUAAAUACGUUGAGCCCCUUGAGUCUCUAAAAGUCAGGUUUUCU